RNAcentral lists this ribosomal RNA (851 nucleotides) under Listeria monocytogenes. RNAcentral describes it as "bacterial LSU rRNA". It matches the Rfam family "Bacterial large subunit ribosomal RNA", at positions 360 to 1212 of the family's 2925-position model. The record is from RNAcentral. Lineage: Bacteria; Bacillati; Bacillota; Bacilli; Caryophanales; Listeriaceae.
GACGGUAACAGCCCGGUAGUUGAAAUGGCUUUCCCUCCAGAGUGGAUCCUGAGUACGGCGGAACACGUGAAAUUCCGUCGGAAUCCGGGAGGACCAUCUCCCAAGGCUAAAUACUCCCUAGUGACCGCUAGUGAACCAGUACCGUGAGGGAAAGGUGAAAAGCACCCCGGAAGGGGAGUGAAACAGUUCCUGAAACCGUGUGCCUACAAGUAGUUAGAGCCCGUUAAUGGGUGAUAGCGUGCCUUUUGUAGAAUGAACCGGCGAGUUACGAUUUGUUGCAAGGUUAAGCGGAAAAAGCGGAGCCGUAGCGAAAGCGAGUCUGAAUAGGGCGCAUAAGUAACAGGUCGUAGACCCGAAACCAGGUGAUCUACCCAUGUCCAGGAUGAAGGUAAGGUAAUACUUACUGGAGGUCCGAACCCACGCACGUUGAAAAGUGCGGGGAUGAGGUGUGGGUAGCGGAGAAAUUCCAAUCGAACUUGGAGAUAGCUGGUUCUCUCCGAAAUAGCUUUAGGGCUAGCCUCGAGGUAAAGAGUCAUGGAGGUAGAGCACUGUUUGGACUAGGGGCCCUUCUCGGGUUACCGAAUUCAGAUAAACUCCGAAUGCCAUGUACUUAUACUCGGGAGUCAGACUGCGAGUGAUAAGAUCCGUAGUCGAAAGGGAAACAGCCCAGACCACCAGUUAAGGUCCCCAAAUAUAUGUUAAGUGGAAAAGGAUGUGGGGUUGCUUAGACAACCAGGAUGUUGGCUUAGAAGCAGCCACCAUUGAAAGAGUGCGUAAUAGCUCACUGGUCGAGUGACCCCGCGCCGAAAAUGUACCGGGGCUAAACAUAUUACCGAAACUGUGGAUGAACC